CCCUUAGAUGUUCUGGGCUGCACGCGUGCUACACUGAUUAUUUCAACAAGUGUUUUAACUGGAGAGUUCGCGUAAUCCUGAAAUGUUAUCGUGAUGGGAGUAGAGUAUUGUAUUUGUUAAUCUUUAACGAGGAAUUCCUAGCAAGUGUAGGUUUAUAAGUUGUUCUGAUUACGUCCCUGCCCUUUGUACACACCGCCCGUCGCUCCUACCGAUUGAUUGAUCCGGUGAAUUACAUAGAAUUUUGCGUUUUACAUGACGGAAGACGAAGUGUUUUAAACCUUAUCAUUUAGAGGAAGGAGAAGGCGUAACA
This 310-nucleotide ribosomal RNA is filed under the name uncultured eukaryote. RNAcentral describes it as "partial 18S ribosomal RNA". It matches the Rfam family "Eukaryotic small subunit ribosomal RNA", at positions 1470 to 1796 of the family's 1831-position model. The record is from RNAcentral.